UCCUCGAAGAGAUUCAAUCCGACACACCAGAAACUCAGGCUUGUUAAGGGGAUGAUGGGGCGGGAGAAAUCAAGAAAGAGAAGGCUCUCGAUGAUAAAUCUGUGCAUUUAUAACAGUGCCACUGAUGCUGAAGGGAGUUCAUUAACCUUAGUGAACUGGAUCAGGCCCUGAGUUUGAGAAGGAAGAAGAAUAUCU
RNAcentral lists this long non-coding RNA (195 nucleotides) under Crocodylus porosus (Australian saltwater crocodile). Its description in RNAcentral is "lncRNA (ENSCPRG00005018372.1)". Lineage: Eukaryota; Metazoa; Chordata; Crocodylia; Crocodylidae. The record is from RNAcentral.